This 503-nucleotide ribosomal RNA is filed under the name uncultured bacterium. Its description in RNAcentral is "partial 16S ribosomal RNA". It matches the Rfam family "Bacterial small subunit ribosomal RNA", at positions 30 to 523 of the family's 1533-position model. The record is from RNAcentral.
AUUGAACGCUGGCGGCAGGCUUAACACAUGCAAGUCGAGCGGGGUGAUGGUGCUUGCACUAUCACUUAGCGGCGGACGGGUGAGUAAUGCUUAGGAAUCUGCCUAUCAGUGGGGGACAACAUCUCGAAAGGGAUGCUAAUACCGCAUACGUCCUACGGGAGAAAGCAGGGGAUCACUUGUGACCUUGCGCUAAUAGAUGAGCCUAAGUCGGAUUAGCUAGUUGGUGGGGUAAAGGCCUACCAAGGCGACGAUCUGUAGCGGGUCUGAGAGGAUGAUCCGCCACACUGGGACUGAGAAACGGCCCAGACUCCUACGGGAGGCAGCAGUGGGGAAUAUUGGACAAUGGGGGGAACCCUGAUCCAGCCAUGCCGCGUGUGUGAAGAAGGCCUUAUGGUUGUAAAGCACUUUAAGCGAGGAGGAGGCUACUGAGACUAAUACUCUUGGAUAGUGGACGUUACUCGCAGAAUAAGCACCGGCUAACUCUGUGCCAGCAGCCGCCGUAA